UGAAGAUGAUGAUGUUCAUGUUUUGGCAACGUUUUUAAUCCAUAGGCCACACUUUUCUGCACUCUGCAUGUGUUAUUUUAGGGCAGGUCAUGCAUUGGUCCACCUAGGCGCGUGUUUGGCAACAUCAUUGGCUCAGAUUCGUUCGCCUUGCCACAUAAGCUUUAAUGAAACGCAGAGUUUCAAGGCUUGGCAUGCUGAGUCAUUUAAAUUGGCUCCUAGUUCGAUCCUCAGCCGUGCCAAUUAAUUCAAAUGCCUCUCAUAUU
RNAcentral lists this long non-coding RNA (263 nucleotides) under Lathyrus oleraceus (garden pea). RNAcentral describes it as "Pisum sativum (pea) long non-coding RNA (PSAT_LNC027507)". The record is from RNAcentral. Lineage: Eukaryota; Viridiplantae; Streptophyta; Magnoliopsida; Fabales; Fabaceae.